RNAcentral lists this ribosomal RNA (1405 nucleotides) under uncultured prokaryote. RNAcentral's name for it is "partial 16S ribosomal RNA". It matches the Rfam family "Bacterial small subunit ribosomal RNA". The record is from RNAcentral.
AGUCGAGCGGUAACAUUUCAAAAGCUUGCUUUUGAAGGCGUCGAGCGGCGGACGGGUGAGUAACGCGUAGGAAUCUACCUAGUAGUGGGGGACAACCUGGUGAAAACCAGGCUAAUACCGCAUACGCCCUAUGGGGGAAAGCGUGGGACCUUCGGGCCACGUGCUAUUAGAUGAGCCUGCGUAAGAUUAGCUAGUUGGUAGGGUAAAGGCCUACCAAGGCGACGAUCUUUAGCUGGUUUGAGAGGAUGAUCAGCCACACUGGGACUGAGACACGGCCCAGACUCCUACGGGAGGCAGCAGUGGGGAAUAUUGCACAAUGGGCGCAAGCCUGAUGCAGCCAUGCCGCGUGUGUGAAGAAGGCCUUCGGGUUGUAAAGCACUUUCAGCGAGGAGGAAAGGUUAGUAGUUAAUAACUGCUAGCUGUGACGUUACUCGCAGAAGAAGCACCGGCUAACUCCGUGCCAGCAGCCGCGGUAAUACGGAGGGUCCGAGCGUUAAUCGGAUUUACUGGGCGUAAAGCGCGCGUAGGUGGUUUGUUAAGUUGGAUGUGAAAGCCCAGGGCACAACCUUGGAACUGCACCCAAAACUGGCAGACUAGAGUUUUUGUAGAGGGUGGUAGAAUUUCAGGUGUAGCGGUGAAAUGCGUAUAGAUCUGAAGGAAUACCAGGGGCGAAGGCGGCCACCUGGACAAAGACUGACACUGAGGCGCGAAGGCGUGGGGUAGCAAACGGGAUUAGAUACCCCGGUAGUCCACGCCGUAAACGAUGUCUACUCGGAGUUUGUGGCUAUAUGCCGUGGGUUUCAAAGCUAACGCAUUAAAUAGACCGCCUGGGGAGUACGGCCGCAAGGUUAAAACUCAAAUGAAUUGACGGGGGCCCGCACAAGCGGUGGAGCAUGUGGUUUAAUUCGAUUCAACGCGAAAAACCUUACCUACUCUUGACAUCCCGUGAUAAUCACCUACAGAUAGACGAGUGCCUUCGGGAACUCUGAGACAGGUGCUGCAUGGCUGUCGUCAGCUCGUGUUGUGAAAUGUUGGGUUAAGUCCCGCAACGAGCGCAACCCUUAUCCUUAUUUGCCAGCACGUAAUGGCGGAACUCUAAGGAGACUGCCGGUGAUAAACCGGAGGAAGGUGGGGACGACGUCAAGUCAUCAUGGCCCUUACGAGUAGGGCUACACACGUGCUACAAUGGCGCAUACAAAGGGCAGCGAACUGGCAACAGUAAGCGAAUCCCAUAAAGUGCGUCGUAGUCCGGAUUGGGGUCUGCAACUCGACCCCAUGAAGUCGGAAUCGCUAGUAAUCGUAGAUCAGAAUGCUACGGUGAAUACGUUCCCGGGCCUUGUACACACCGCCCGUCACACCAUGGGAGUGGGUUGCACCAGAAGUAGGUAGUUUAACCUUCGGGAGG